This 444-nucleotide ribosomal RNA is filed under the name uncultured bacterium. RNAcentral's name for it is "bacterial SSU rRNA". It matches the Rfam family "Bacterial small subunit ribosomal RNA", at positions 331 to 792 of the family's 1533-position model. The record is from RNAcentral.
CCAGACUCCUACGGGAGGCAGCAGUGGGGAAUAUUGCACAAUGGGGGGAACCCUGAUGCAGCAAUGCCGCGUGGGUGAAGAAGCACUCCGGUGCGUAAAGCCCUGUCAGCAGGGAAGAAAAUGACAGUACCUGACCAAGAAGCCCCGGCUAACUACGUGCCAGCAGCCGCGGUAAUACGUAGGGGGCGAGCGUUGUCCGGAAUGACUGGGCGUAAAGGGAGUGUAGGCGGCAAUAUAAGUUAGAUGUGAAAUCCCGCGGCUCAACCGCGGAACUGCAUCUAAAACUAUAUAGCUGGAGUGCAGGAGAGGUGAGUGGAAUUCCUAGUGUAGCGGUGGAAUGCGUAGAUAUUAGGAGGAACACCAGAGGCGAAGGCGACUCACUGGACUGUAACUGACGCUGAGGCUCGAAAGCGUGGGGAGCAAACAGGAUUAGAUACCCGUGUA